This 253-nucleotide ribosomal RNA is filed under the name uncultured bacterium. Its description in RNAcentral is "partial 16S ribosomal RNA". It matches the Rfam family "Bacterial small subunit ribosomal RNA", at positions 524 to 776 of the family's 1533-position model. The record is from RNAcentral.
UACGUAGGUGGCAAGCGUUGUCCGGAAUUAUUGGGCGUAAAGCGCGCGCAGGUGGUUUCUUAAGUCUGAUGUGAAAGCCCACGGCUCAACCGUGGAGGGUCAUUGGAAACUGGGGAACUUGAGUGCAGAAGAGGAAAGUGGAAUUCCAAGUGUAGCGGUGAAAUGCGUAGAGAUUUGGAGGAACACCAGUGGCGAAGGCGGCGAUCUGGGCUGAUACUGACGCUGAGGUGCGAAAGCGUGGGGAGCAAACAGG